This 446-nucleotide ribosomal RNA is filed under the name uncultured bacterium. Its description in RNAcentral is "bacterial SSU rRNA". It matches the Rfam family "Bacterial small subunit ribosomal RNA", at positions 329 to 792 of the family's 1533-position model. The record is from RNAcentral.
GACCAGACUCCUACGGGAGGCAGCAGUGGGGAAUAUUGCACAAUGGGGGAAACCCUGAUGCAGCGACGCCGCGUGAGUGAAGAAGUAAUUCGUUAUGUAAAGCUCUAUCAGCAGGGAAGAAAAUGACGGUACCUGACUAAGAAGCCCCGGCUAACUACGUGCCAGCAGCCGCGGUAAUACGUAGGGGGCAAGCGUUAUCCGGAUUUACUGGGUGUAAAGGGAGCGUAGACGGCUGGCCAAGUCUGAAGUGAAAGCCCGGGGCUUAACCCCGGAACGGCUUUGGAAACUGGCCGGCUGGAGUGCUGGAGAGGCAGGCGGAAUUCCUGGUGUAGCGGUGAAAUGCGUAGAUAUUAGGAGGAACACCAGUGGCGAAGGCGGCCUACUGGACGGUGACUGACGCUGAGGCUCGAAAGCGUGGGGAGCAAACAGGAUUAGAUACCCUUGUA